This 137-nucleotide ribosomal RNA is filed under the name uncultured bacterium. Its description in RNAcentral is "partial 16S ribosomal RNA". It matches the Rfam family "Bacterial small subunit ribosomal RNA", at positions 393 to 523 of the family's 1533-position model. The record is from RNAcentral.
CACGCCGCGUGAGUGAUGAAGGUUUUCGGAUCGUAAACUCUGUUGUAAGGGAAGAACACGUACGAGAGGGAAUGCUCGUACCUUGACGGUACCUUACGAGAAAGCCACGGCUAACUACGUGCCAGCAGCCGCGGUAA